Molecule: long non-coding RNA, 1012 nt
Organism: Triticum aestivum (bread wheat)
Lineage: Eukaryota; Viridiplantae; Streptophyta; Magnoliopsida; Poales; Poaceae
Exons: 3
Source: RefSeq, a predicted model, not a curated record
AUACAGGAGUAUAAAAUGGAUUUUCUUCUUGUUGAAUGAAGUUGAACUUGUUGUUAUGCUUCUGAACUUCUACCCUUUCCCUCAGGACAGGGACAUUUUCCUCUCUGAUUCUUGAUGUGCCGCCGCCACCAUCUCCCGUCGCGGCCGCCGCGACGCUACCCCAUCUUCGACAGCGACCGCCGCCCUGCCCAAGACCCCCCCGGCACCCUGGAUCCCGCCACCGCCCGCAGCCCAGCCGGCGACGCCGCCAUCUCCCUGCACCGGAUCAAUGCCCACAUCUACACUUGUACACUUUUUUCAGUUGACACCGUAGGUAUUUUUUCAGUACACGUUGUCGGGUUUUUUCAGUUCAAUAGAAUCCAAAUAGAAAAAAAUUGCGGCUGGGCGAGGAUUCAUUAGUUCAUGGAGCAAAAAGUUGUACGGUGUUGAUUCAGCUUCUGUACUUUUUCUUGUUUCAGACAUUUGGUACCUCUUGUCAACUAGAUAUGUUAAUACAUGUGCCCAUGUGCCAAAAGAGGUUGAGCUGCCUGUCCAAACUAAGUACAGUUCAUUAACAAAUAGCUUCAGUAGUUUAUCAGUACAUGUCUGUUAGCAAAAUUCAUGUUACAAAUGUUUACGUACUUCCAUUUUACAAUAAAUAGAUGGCAUUUGUUGCUCCAAUUGUGGAGAAAAUGCAGUGAAAAAUAAAUAAAUUGUGCUUUCAAAAAUUCGUUUGCAGAGAAUUAUUGUGUUUAAGUUGUUCUUGUACUGCAAAAACUGUGUCAUGAUUUUUUGCAAAGUAGUUUGUGUGAAAAAGGGGAAAAGAAGACAUGUUUUCUAGUUGCAAGCAUGAUGCUCUUUAGGUGUUUGUUGUUAAUGCAGAAAACAGUUUUUAAUACCGAAGAACAACCUUAGCGAGAAGUUCAUGUUUAGAAAGUUGGUAGGUUUGUAGAUAGAAACUUAACAAAUAUUGUCCAUAUUAGUAUUGAUCGAGUAUCAUGUAUGCAUUAGUCCUAAAUACUUUGUUCAUUGU